GACGAACGCUGGCGGCGUGCUUAACACAUGCAAGUCGAACGGAAAGGCCCUGCUUUUGUGGGGUGCUCGAGUGGCGAACGGGUGAGUAGCACGUGAGUAACCUGCCCUUGACUUUGGGAUAACUUCAGGAAACUGGGGCUAAUACCGGAUAGGAGCUCCUGCUGCAUGGUGGGGGUUGGAAAUUUUCGGCGGUUGGGGAUGGACUCGCGGCUUAUCAGCUUGUUGGUGGGGUAGUGGCUUACCAAGGCUUUGACGGGUAGCCGGCCUGAGAGGGUGACCGGCCACAUUGGGACUGAGAUACGGCCCAGACUCCUACGGGAGGCAGCAGUGGGGAAUAUUGCACAAUGGGCGGAAGCCUGAUGCAGCAACGCCGCGUGCGGGAUGACGGCCUUCGGGUUGUAAACCGCUUUCGCCUGUGACGAAGCGUGAGUGACGGUAAUGGGUAAAGAAGCACCGGCUAACUACGUG
RNAcentral lists this ribosomal RNA (468 nucleotides) under uncultured bacterium. Its description in RNAcentral is "partial 16S ribosomal RNA". It matches the Rfam family "Bacterial small subunit ribosomal RNA", at positions 28 to 507 of the family's 1533-position model. The record is from RNAcentral.